UACGGAGGGUGCGAGCGUUGUCCGGAAUCAUUGGGCGUAAAGGGCGCGUAGGUGGCCCGGUCAGUUCGUGGUGAAAGCGCGGGGCUCAACCCUGCGUCGGCCAUGAAUACUGCCGCGGCUGGAGCACUGUAGAGGCAGGCGGGAUUCCGGGUGUAGCGGUGGAAUGCGUAGAGAUCCGGAAGAACACCGGUGGCGAAGGCGGCCUGCUGGGCAGUUGCUGACACUGAGGCGCGACAGCGUGGGGAGCAAACAGG
RNAcentral lists this ribosomal RNA (254 nucleotides) under uncultured bacterium. Its description in RNAcentral is "partial 16S ribosomal RNA". It matches the Rfam family "Bacterial small subunit ribosomal RNA", at positions 524 to 776 of the family's 1533-position model. The record is from RNAcentral.